This 497-nucleotide ribosomal RNA is filed under the name uncultured bacterium. RNAcentral describes it as "partial 16S ribosomal RNA". It matches the Rfam family "Bacterial small subunit ribosomal RNA", at positions 28 to 507 of the family's 1533-position model. The record is from RNAcentral.
GAUGAACGCUGGCGGCGUGCCUAAUACAUGCAAGUCGAGCGAAUGGACGAGAAGCUUGCUUCUCUGAUGUUAGCGGCGGACGGGUGAGUAACACGUGGAUAACCUACCUAUAAGACUGGGAUAACUUCGGGAAACCGGAGCUAAUACCGGAUAAUAUUUUGAACCGCAUGGUUCAAAAGUGAAAGACGGUCUUGCUGUCACUUAUAGAUGGAUCCGCGCUGCAUUAGCUAGUUGGUAAGGUAACGGCUUACCAAGGCAACGAUGCAUAGCCGACCUGAGAGGGGGAUCGGCCACACUGGAACUGAGACACGGUCCAGACUCCUACGGGAGGCAGCAGUAGGGAAUCUUCCGCAAUGGGCGAAAGCCUGACGGAGCAACGCCGCGUGAGUGAUGAAGGUCUUCGGAUCGUAAAACUCUGUUAUUAGGGAAGAACAUAUGUGUAAGUAACUGUGCACAUCUUGACGGUACCUAAUCAGAAAGCCACGGCUAACUACGUG